This 1678-nucleotide long non-coding RNA is filed under the name Helianthus annuus (common sunflower). RNAcentral's name for it is "hypothetical non coding rna". The record is from RNAcentral. Lineage: Eukaryota; Viridiplantae; Streptophyta; Magnoliopsida; Asterales; Asteraceae.
AGGGUGUGUGUCUGCGUACGAUCGCAGGAGAAGGGGAAAAAGGGGGUGUAAACCCUAACCACAAAAAAAUCAUCAAUUGAAAAGGAAAUCGCGGGUUGAUUGUGUGCAUGAACCAAGAAUGAUGAUCCCUUAAGCGUUUCUCACAUCAAUGAUGCGAACGUGUCAAGGAGAGGUCAAGCAUAGGAGGAUAACGGGUCAAGAUAAGGCAAGGUGACAAAUACACUUAUUGGAGUACUCGAGGUAAGUGAAUUUCGAUUCACUUUUUAGUAGGUUUAAUAGAUUUUAAUACUUUUGUUUACGAAACAUCAUGAAAGAACAUGUAAUAAUCAGAAGUACAAAGCCAAUAAUGCCUCAUUAUUGAAGAAGGUUGUAUUUAAGCCGAAAGUAAAUUGGUGGGUUUAAACGGGUCGAAUUUUAUGUGCAUAUGUUGCGUAAUGUAAUGAAAUUCGUUAUGGUUAAGACAUUGGGUAAGAAUUUUUAGUCAUUAUGUAAGGGGAACAUUUCCCGGACCAUUAGGAACAAGUUUUAUAUGAUUCGGUUGUCGGUUAGUGAAUGAACGGAUUGUUUCGUGUUAGUGUAGGAAAUUUUAUAAGUAUAUGUGUAUAGGAAUCCAAAUGGCACGUGGGUUGAAUCAUAGAUUGUCUAUACUAUGUAAAGUUGUGCAUGUGACAUUCCGGCAUAAACCUACAUGUAAAAGAAGCUUGUGUAUAUAUUCGUGAUUAAUUGAUUGUGCGUAGGAAGGAACAUUGGCAUGUAUGAAGGUACGCAUGUAUAUAUAUAAGUGUAUAUAUAUAUGUAUGUAUGUAUGAUAAUAAGUACGUAGGUGUGAAUGUGUGUGUGAAUGAAUGUUCAAUGCUUAAGACAUAUGCAUGAACGUUAUCAAAGUGUUCGAGUAUUUAUGGAUACUAAUGAUGUGCGUUGAGUUGGAAUGUAAUGUAGGUAUGGGAUCGUUGGCUUCAUGAAGAAAUGGAGCUGGAUUUGGAUAAGAGUAUUUAAGAAAGCGCUUGGACAAUUCCACGACUACUUUAUAGAAUGCUCUACGAAAUUCUAUUAUAUAGUUUAAUGUUGUAUGGUAUGUUAAUGACUAAUGGUUUGGUUGUACGUGGUGUCCACAGGUAUCGCUUGGGUUUUCUCUACAUUUAUUGAAGUGAAGCGGACUUAGUUCGAGUUGAGAGCAAGGAUUGUACGGGGUAGAAUGGUCACAUAGUGUAACUCAUAUAGGUUUUGAAGUAUUAAUGUUAUAAAACGUUAUAAUUCGUUUUAAUGAAUAUAUGGCAUUUCGCAUUUGAACCUUCAUGUGUUUGAUAUGUCUAUUAAAGAACGAAAUUUUUGGGCUCUUGUUUUCCGCUGCGUCGUAUUUUAAGUUAUUACGCGUUAGUCUUACAGGGAAUUGUUCUUAUUACGAACGGGUCAUGCCCGAAUUUUGUUAAAUAAUAGUAUGAUAAUAUUACAUUUUGGAAUGUGUAAUUUGGGCGUAUCAAAACCGUAUGUUUAUAAUUAUUAUUCAUGUUAGUCACCAACGUUCGAGAGUUAUAAUGUGUGUGUUCCGGUAAUUCCCCGAAUUACCAAAGUAGACCCAUUUAACUAACCUUAGUUAAAUGCAGUGCUAUGAAUGUAUGACUAAGUUAACUAUGGUUAGGUUAAAGUAUUAACCUGAAAUUGCGGGUUGUCACAAUAA